CCUACGGGAGGCAGCAGUGGGGAAUAUUGCACAAUGGGGGAAACCCUGAUGCAGCGACGCCGCGUGAGCGAUGAAGUAUUUCGGUAUGUAAAGCUCUAUCAGCCGGGAAGAAGAUGACGGGUCCUGACUAAGAAGCCCCGGCGAACUACGUGCCAGCAUCCGCGGUAAUACGUCGGGGGCAAGCGUUAUCCGGGUUUACUGGGUGUAAAGGGGGCGUAGACGGGGCUGCAAGCCAGGUGUGAAAGCCCGGGGCUCAACCCCCGGAUUGCAUUUGGAACCGUGUGGCUGGAGUGCCGGAGAGGCAGGCGGAAUUCCUGGUGUAGCGGUGAAAUGCGUAGAUAUUAGGCGGAACACCAGUGGCGAAGGCGGCCUACUGGACGGUGACUGACGUUGAGGCUCGAAAGCGUGGGGAGCAAACAGGAUUAGAUACCCCGGUAGUC
Molecule: ribosomal RNA, 440 nt
Filed under: uncultured bacterium
Lineage: Bacteria
Description: partial 16S ribosomal RNA
Rfam family: Bacterial small subunit ribosomal RNA
Source: RNAcentral